Molecule: ribosomal RNA, 429 nt
Filed under: Verrucomicrobiota bacterium
Lineage: Bacteria; Pseudomonadati; Verrucomicrobiota
Description: Verrucomicrobia bacterium partial 16S ribosomal RNA
Rfam family: Bacterial small subunit ribosomal RNA
Source: RNAcentral
UAGGGAAUCUUCCGCAAUGGACGAAAGUCUGACGGAGCAACGCCGCGUGAGUGAAGAAGGAUUUCGGUUCGUAAAACUCUGUUGUUAGGGAAGAAAAAAUGUAUAGUAACUAUAUACAAAAGAGACGGUACCUAACCAGAAAGCCACGGCUAACUACGUGCCAGCAGCCGCGGUAAUACGUAGGUGGCAAGCGUUGUCCGGAAUUACUGGGCGUAAAGAGCUCGUAGGCGGUUUGUCACGUCGUCUGUGAAAUCCUAGGGCUUAACCCUGGACGUGCAGGCGAUACGGGCUGACUUGAGUACUACAGGGGAGACUGGAAUUUCUGGUGUAGCGGUGGAAUGCACAGAUAUCAGGAAGAACACCGAUGGCGAAGGCAGGUCUCUGGGUAGUAACUGACGCUGAGGAGCGAAAGCAUGGGUAGCGAACAGG